This 429-nucleotide ribosomal RNA is filed under the name Chloroflexota bacterium. RNAcentral describes it as "Chloroflexi bacterium partial 16S ribosomal RNA". It matches the Rfam family "Bacterial small subunit ribosomal RNA", at positions 355 to 776 of the family's 1533-position model. Lineage: Bacteria; Bacillati; Chloroflexota. The record is from RNAcentral.
UAGGGAAUCUUCGGCAAUGGACGAAAGUCUGACCGAGCAACGCCGCGUGAGUGAAGAAGGUUUUCGGAUCGUAAAACUCUGUUGUUAGAGAAGAACAAGGACGUUAGUAACUGAACGUCCCCUGACGGUAUCUAACCAGAAAGCCACGGCUAACUACGUGCCAGCAGCCGCGGUAAUACGUAGGUGGCAAGCGUUGUCCGGAUUUAUUGGGCGUAAAGCGAGCGCAGGCGGUCUGUCAAGUCGGAUGUGAAAUCCCCGGGCUCAACCUGGGAACUGCAUUCGAAACUGGCAGGCUAGAGUCUUGUAGAGGGGGGUGGAAUUCCAGGUGUAGCGGUGAAAUGCGUAGAGAUCUGGAGGAAUACCGGUGGCGAAGGCGGCCCCCUGGACAAAGACUGACGCUCAGGUGCGAAAGCGUGGGGAGCAAACAGG